RNAcentral lists this ribosomal RNA (399 nucleotides) under uncultured bacterium. RNAcentral's name for it is "bacterial SSU rRNA". It matches the Rfam family "Bacterial small subunit ribosomal RNA", at positions 30 to 433 of the family's 1533-position model. The record is from RNAcentral.
AUUGAACGCUGGCGGCAUGCUUUACACAUGCAAGUCGAACGGGCUUGGGGGCUUGCUCCCAAGUUAGUGGCGAACGGGUGAGUAAUACAUCGGAACGUACCGUGUAGUGGGGGAUAACGUAGCGAAAGUUACGCUAAUACCGCAUACAAUCUACGGAUGAAAGCAGGGGGACCUUCGGGCCUUGUGCUAUACGAGCGGCCGAUGUCUGAUUAGCUAGUUGGUGAGGUAAAGGCUCACCAAGGCGACGAUCAGUAGCGGGUCUGAGAGGAUGAUCCGCCACACUGGGACUGAGACACGGCCCAGACUCCUACGGGAGGCAGCAGUGGGGAAUUUUGGACAAUGGGCGAAAGCCUGAUCCAGCCAUGCCGCGUGUCUGAAGAAGGCCUCGGUUGUAAGGAC